AUUGAACGCUGGCGGCAGGCCUAACACAUGAAAGUCGAGCGGAUGAAGGGAGCUUGCUCCUGGAUUCAGCGGCGGACGGGUGAGUAAUGCCUAGGAAUCUGCCUGGUAGUGGGGGAUAACGUCCGGAAACGGGCGCUAAUACCGCAUACGUCCUGAGGGAGAAAGUGGGGGAUCUUCGGACCUCACGCUAUCAGAUGAGCCUAGGUCGGAUUAGCUAGUUGGUGGGGUAAAGGCCUACCAAGGCGACGAUCCGUAACUGGUCUGAGAGGAUGAUCAGUCACACUGGAACUGAGACACGGUCCAGACUCCUACGGGAGGCAGCAGCGGGGAAUAUUGGACAAUGGGCGAAAGCCUGAUCCAGCCAUGCCGCGUGUGUGAAGAAGGUCUUCGGAUUGUAAAGCACUUUAAGUUGGGAGGAAGGGCAGUAAGUUAAUACCUUGCUGUUUUGACGUUACCAACAGAAUAAGCACCGGCUAACUUCGUG
RNAcentral lists this ribosomal RNA (484 nucleotides) under uncultured bacterium. Its description in RNAcentral is "partial 16S ribosomal RNA". It matches the Rfam family "Bacterial small subunit ribosomal RNA", at positions 30 to 507 of the family's 1533-position model. The record is from RNAcentral.